GAAGCGUGGACGCCAGUCUGCGUGGAGCCAACCUUGAAAUACCACCCUUUAAUGUUUGAUGUUCUAACGUUGCCCCAUUAUCUGGGGUGCGGACAGUGUCUGGUGGGUAGUUUGACUGGGGCGGUCUCCUCCCAAAGAGUAACGGAGGAGCACGAAGGUUGGCUAAGCAUGGUCGGACAUCAUGCGGUUAGUGCAAAGGCAUAAGCCAGCUUGACUGCGAGAGUGACGGCUCGAGCAGGUACGAAAGUAGGUCUUAGUGAUCCGGUGGUUCUGAAUGGAAGGGCCAUCGCUCAACGGAUAAAAGGUACUCCGGGGAUAACAGGCUGAUACCGCCCAAGAGUUCAUAUCGACGGCGGUGUUUGGCACCUCGAUGUCGGCUCAUCACAUCCUGGGGCUGAAGUAGGUCCCAAGGGUACGGCUGUUCGCCGUUUAAAGUGGUACGCGAGCUGGGUUUAGAACGUCGUGAGACAGUUCGGUCCCUAUCUGCCGUGGGCGUUGGAAGAUUGAAAGGGGCUGCUCCUAGUACGAGAGGACCGGAGUGGACGCACCACUGGUGUUCGGGUUGUCAUGCCAAUGGCAUUGCCCGGUAGCUAAGUGCGGAAGAGAUAACCGCUGAAAGCAUCUAAGCGGGAAACUUGCCUUGAGAUGAGUCUUCCCUGAC
Molecule: ribosomal RNA, 661 nt
Filed under: Providencia rettgeri
Lineage: Bacteria; Pseudomonadati; Pseudomonadota; Gammaproteobacteria; Enterobacterales; Morganellaceae
Description: partial 23S ribosomal RNA
Rfam family: Bacterial large subunit ribosomal RNA
Source: RNAcentral